GAUGCAAGACCCGUAAAAUAUGCAAGUUCCGGUUCCGGUCAUGUGAAUUUUACGUUAGGCUCUGUAAAAAGGGCAAGACCCGUAAAAAGUGCAAGUCUUAUAUUGUUUUGCAAUGACUUUGGUAUUUAAUUGGAGAAAAACAUCACUAAUAAAGAGGGUCGACGUUCGUUUCUUCAAGAUUGGGCAAAAAAACAUUACAAUGCGGUUCGCAGUGCGCAGGCUACUGUCCCCCUUCAAGAGCACCCAGGUCAUACAAGCUGAACACGGUUGACCUGCACACCUAACAGUGGAAAUAAUGAAACAAGUGAUCACACAUCCACCCACUUUCUGCCCGGAACAACAGUUAGCCUUCUGUGCAAGGUCAUGAGGUGAAACCUGGAUGUUUCGUAUCCAUGACUGCACACAGCUACUGUGAGAGUCUCGACUCUCUGGUGGUUCAGGGUCCCAUUUUCCCACAAUACUGCUGUAUACGAGGGCAGGACAAACAAAUGGUUACUGGUGAGAUUCACUUCUGCCUUUAUAAGGCCAAGUGGUGGUCUUCAAGUGACGCGGUCUUGGCUUAAGGGUCUCGGCUACAUCCAUGACUGGCAAUUUGGCUUGAAAAGCCAUAAGGCAGACACUGGAGAGCGACAUACAAAGAGUUGUUUUGGUUUCCAG
Long non-coding RNA from Dreissena polymorpha, 657 nucleotides. RefSeq lists it as uncharacterized. The record is from RefSeq and is a predicted model, not a curated record. The transcript has 6 exons. NCBI's taxonomy places the organism in Eukaryota, Metazoa, Mollusca, Bivalvia, Myida, Dreissenidae.